GCCCUUCGUCCUUCAUCGGCUCUUAGUGCCAAGGCAUCCACUGUACGCCCUUAUUUUCUUCAUUAUUUUGAGAAUUUACGUUGUUUAUCUACUUUUCAAAGAACUUUUUUGAUUUUCAGUACAUUUAGACUGGUGGGCCUAAAUGGACUUGAACCACCGACCUCACGCUUAUUAUGCGUGUGCUCUAACCAACUGAGCUAUAGGCCCUUAAAAUCUUAAAGAAUAUUAUAUUAAAAGAAUUAACUAAUGAAAAAAACGAAAAACUUAUUUUUUAAAUUAACUUAAGUCUUUCAAAACUGAAGAUGAUGAUUUUAAAAAAUUUCCUUAGAAAGGAGGUGAUCCAUCCCCACCUUCCGGUAGGGAUACCUUGUUACGACUUAACCCCAAUCAUCGACCCUACCUUAGACGAUUCCCUCUGCUUACGCAGUUAGGCUGUCGCUUUCGGGUAUUGUCCACUUUCGUGGUUUGACGGGCGGUGUGUACAAACCCCGAGAACGUAUUCACCGCGACAUGCUGAUUCGCGAUUACUAGCGAUUCCAACUUCAUGAAGUCGAGUUGCAGACUUCAGUCCGAACUGAGACUAUUUUUUUGAGAUUUNGCCAAAACUCGCGUUUCAGCUACUCUUUGUUAUAGCCAUUGUAUCACGUUUGUAGCCCAGAUCAUAAGGGGCAUGAUGAUUUGACGUAAUCCCCACCUU
This 697-nucleotide ribosomal RNA is filed under the name Coconut lethal yellowing phytoplasma. Its description in RNAcentral is "partial 16S ribosomal RNA". Lineage: Bacteria; Bacillati; Mycoplasmatota; Mollicutes; Acholeplasmatales; Acholeplasmataceae. The record is from RNAcentral.